RNAcentral lists this ribosomal RNA (1529 nucleotides) under Paludibacter sp. Its description in RNAcentral is "bacterial SSU rRNA". It matches the Rfam family "Bacterial small subunit ribosomal RNA". Lineage: Bacteria; Pseudomonadati; Bacteroidota; Bacteroidia; Bacteroidales; Paludibacteraceae. The record is from RNAcentral.
ACAACGAAGAGUUUGAUCCUGGCUCAGGAUGAACGCUAGCGACAGGCCUAACACAUGCAAGUCGAGGGGCAGCACAAAGGUAGCAAUACUUUGGUGGCGACCGGCGCACGGGUGAGUAACACGUAUGCAACCUACCUGUAAGCGGGGAAUAACCCGGAGAAAUUCGGACUAAUACCGCAUAAUACCAACCCACCGCAUGGUGAGUUGGUUAAAUAUUUAUAGCUUACAGAUGGGCAUGCGUAUGAUUAGAUAGUUGGUGAGGUAACGGCUCACCAAGUCAACGAUCAUUAGGGGUUCUGAGAGGAAGGUCCCCCACACUGGUACUGAGACACGGACCAGACUCCUACGGGAGGCAGCAGUGAGGAAUAUUGGUCAAUGGGCGAGAGCCUGAACCAGCCAAGUCGCGUGAAGGAAGAAGGUUCUAUGGAUUGUAAACUUCUUUUGUAAGGGAAUAAAAAAGGGUACGUGUACUCUAUUGUAUGUACUUUACGAAUAAGGAUCGGCUAACUCCGUGCCAGCAGCCGCGGUAAUACGGAGGAUCCAAGCGUUAUCCGGAUUUAUUGGGUUUAAAGGGUGCGUAGGCGGGUUUUUAAGUCAGUGGUGAAAGUUUGCGGCUCAACCGUAAAAUUGCCAUUGAAACUGAAGGUCUUGAGUGUAAAUGAGGUAGGCGGAAUGUGUUGUGUAGCGGUGAAAUGCUUAGAUAUAACACAGAACACCAAUUGCGAAGGCAGCUUACUGGGAUACAACUGACGCUGAGGCACGAAAGCGUGGGGAUCAAACAGGAUUAGAUACCCUGGUAGUCCACGCAGUAAACGAUGAAUACUAGCUGUAUGCGAUAUACCGUAUGUGGCACAGCGAAAGCGUUAAGUAUUCCACCUGGGGAGUACGUUCGCAAGAAUGAAACUCAAAGGAAUUGACGGGGGCCCGCACAAGCGGAGGAACAUGUGGUUUAAUUCGAUGAUACGCGAGGAACCUUACCCGGGCUUGAAAUGCAGAGGAAAGACUUGGAAACAGGUUCGCCAGCAAUGGUCUCUGUGUAGGUGCUGCAUGGUUGUCGUCAGCUCGUGCCGUGAGGUGUCGGCUUAAGUGCCAUAACGAGCGCAACCCUUGCCAUUAGUUACUAACAGGUCAUGCUGAGGACUCUAAUGGGACUGCCAUCGUAAGAUGCGAGGAAGGUGGGGAUGACGUCAAAUCAGCACGGCCCUUACGUCCGGGGCGACACACGUGUUACAAUGGGGGGUACAGAGGGUCGCUACCUAGUGAUAGGAUGCUAAUCUCAUAAAGCCUCUCUCAGUUCGGAUCGAAGUCUGCAACUCGACUUCGUGAAGCUGGAUUCGCUAGUAAUCGCGCAUCAGCCAUGGCGCGGUGAAUACGUUCCCGGGCCUUGUACACACCGCCCGUCAAGCCAUGGAAGCCGGGGAGACCUGAAGUACGUAACCGUCAAGGAGCGUCCUAGGGUAAAAUCGGUAACUGGGGCUAAGUCGUAACAAGGUAGCCGUACCGGAAGGUGCGGCUGGAACACCUCCUUU